Molecule: microRNA precursor, 79 nt
Organism: Sorghum bicolor (sorghum)
Lineage: Eukaryota; Viridiplantae; Streptophyta; Magnoliopsida; Poales; Poaceae
Rfam family: MIR5387 microRNA precursor family
Source: Rfam
UCGUAACACGAACCGGUGCUAAAGGGUCCUGCCCAACGGCUACUGACAGGGACCCUUUAGCACCGGUUCGUGUUACCAA